RNAcentral lists this ribosomal RNA (254 nucleotides) under uncultured bacterium. RNAcentral's name for it is "partial 16S ribosomal RNA". It matches the Rfam family "Bacterial small subunit ribosomal RNA", at positions 524 to 776 of the family's 1533-position model. The record is from RNAcentral.
UACGUAGGGGGGCUAGCGUUGUCCGGAAUCAUUGGGCGUAAAGCGCGCGUAGGUGGCCCCGUAAGUCCGCUGUGAAAGUCAAAGGCUCAACCUUUGAAAGCCGGUGGAUACUGUGGGACUAGAGUACGGAAGAGGCGAGUGGAAUUCCUGGUGUAGCGGUGGAAUGCGCAGAUAUCAGGAGGAACACCAAUAGCGAAGGCAGCUCGCUGGGACGUUACUGACACUGAGGCGCGAAAGCGUGGGGAGCGAACAGG